Vollenhovia emeryi is the source of this 210-nucleotide long non-coding RNA. RefSeq lists it as uncharacterized. NCBI's taxonomy places the organism in Eukaryota, Metazoa, Arthropoda, Insecta, Hymenoptera, Formicidae. The record is from RefSeq and is a predicted model, not a curated record. The transcript has 3 exons.
UAUCAGCUGUUCGUUCGAAAUUUUGCCGCCAACUUCAAGCACAUUUACAAAGUAGCAGAUACCACGACAAAGAUUGUGUGGAAAGAAACCAAAAUCCUAUCCUUGGCACAAUUCUCAGAUUACUAAUGUAACCUAAAAGUUCUUGCUUCUGACCAGGACCUGAAAACAUUAAUUUCAUACUACAAUUUUAACAUAGGUCCUUUAAGAUAU